RNAcentral lists this unclassified non-coding RNA (51 nucleotides) under Leishmania major strain Friedlin. RNAcentral describes it as "H/ACA-like_snoRNA". Lineage: Eukaryota; Euglenozoa; Kinetoplastea; Trypanosomatida; Trypanosomatidae. The record is from RNAcentral.
GAAGGUUGGUGCCUCAUCCCACGCAAGUCCUUGUCCUCUUGUGCCAGAGCG